UACGGAGGGUGCAAGCGUUAUCCGGAUUCACUGGGGUUAAAGGGUGUGUAGGCGGGUAUUUAAGUCAGUGGUGAAAUCUCCAGGCUCAACCUGGAAACUGCCAUUGAUACUAUAUAUCUUGAAUCUUGUUGAGGUGGGCGGAAUAUGUCAUGUAGCGGUGAAAUGCAUAGAUAUGACAUAGAACACCAAUUGCGAAGGCAGCUCACAAAGCAAGUAUUGACGCUGAGGCACGAAAGCGUGGGGAUCAAACAGG
RNAcentral lists this ribosomal RNA (253 nucleotides) under uncultured bacterium. Its description in RNAcentral is "partial 16S ribosomal RNA". It matches the Rfam family "Bacterial small subunit ribosomal RNA", at positions 524 to 776 of the family's 1533-position model. The record is from RNAcentral.